GACCCGUUUCCGUUGACCACAAUGGAGGAAGUGGACAUGUUUGAGCAACAGCUCAAAGAUCCAGCCAACGCUUUAAUGAAGAAGAGUGUGAUUUCCUCCCUGGGAACAAUCGGAGGACAUGAUGUAAAACGUGCAACGUGGAACAUCCUCGCACGCAUGUUCACUGAUGAUGUUGGCAAGUCCAUAAAUUGGAAAGGGAUUAAUGGAAAAAAAUCUUUCAAUCUAAUGACGUCCAAGACUUUGCUCCUGCGUGAAUGUUACUCAACUAUACCUUUACAUAAUAGUUAUAUGAUAUAUUAGCUCUAUGGAGUGGAGAUGGUCAGCUGCUUCAGGUUCCUCGGGGUCAACAUCAGCAACGACCUCACCUGGUCUGCUCACACAGACAAGGUGGUCAAAGCGGCCCGGAAGCGCCUCUUCUUCCUGAGGAGACUGAAGCAGUUUGGCAUGGAUUCAGUCAUCCUCACCAAUGUCUCCAGAUGCCCAAUAGAAAGCAUCCUGACUGGGUGCAUCACAGUGUGGGAGCUGCACAGCCAAGGACCGCAAGGCCCGACGUCGUGUGGUCAGGACUGCGGAGUUCAUCAUCGAUGCUGUCAGAAAGAAUCACUCAACACAUG
Long non-coding RNA from Pseudoliparis swirei, 614 nucleotides. RefSeq lists it as uncharacterized. The transcript is spliced from 4 exons. The record is from RefSeq and is a predicted model, not a curated record. NCBI's taxonomy places the organism in Eukaryota, Metazoa, Chordata, Actinopteri, Perciformes, Liparidae.